UGUUGCUGUAUUGAUUUAUUAGGGUUAAUUAUUCUAAAACAAAAGAGCAAAGGGGAACAGUUUGAUUUAUUAGGGUUAAUUAUUCAAAAACAAAAGAGCAAAGGGGAACAGUUUGAUUUAUUAGGGUUAAUUAUUCUAAAACAAAAAGAGCAAAGGGGAACAGUUUGAUUUAUUAGGGUUAAUUAUUCUAAAACAAAAGAGCAAAGGGGAACAGUUUGAUUUAUUAGGGUUAAUUAUUCUAAAACAAAAAGAGCAAAGGGGAACAGUUUGAUUUAUUAGGGUUAAUUAUUCUAAAACAAAAGAGCAAAGGGGAACAGUUUGAUUUAUUAGGGUUAAUUAUUCUAAAACAAAAGAGCAAAGGGGAACAGUUUGAUUUAUUAGGGUUAAUUAUUCUAAAACAAAAGAGCAAAGGGGAACAGUUUGAUUUAUUAGGGUUAAUUAUUCUAAAACAAAAAGAGCAAAGGGGAACAGUUUGAUUUAUUAGGGUUAAUUAUUCUAAAACAAAAGAGCAAAGGGGAACAGUUUGAUUUAUUAGGGUUAAUUAUUCUAAAACAAAAGAGCAAAGGGGAACAGUUUGAUUUAUUAGGGUUAAUUAUUCUAAAACAAAAGAGCAAAGGGGAACAGUUUGAUUUAUUAGGGUUAAUUAUUCUAAAACAAAAGAGCAAAGGGGAACAGUUUGAUUUAUUAGGGUUAAUUAUUCUAAAACAAAAGAGCAAAGGGGAACAGUUUGAUUUAUUAGGGUUAAUUAUUCUAAAACAAAAGAGCAAAGGGGAACAGUUUGAUUUAUUAGGGUUAAUUAUUCUAAAACAAAAAGAGCAAAGGGGAACAGUUUGAUUUAUUAGGGUUAAUUAUUCUAAAACAAAAGAGCAAAGGGGAACAGUUUGAUUUAUUAGGGUUAAUUAUUCUAAAACAAAAAGAGCAAAGGGGAACAGUUUGAUUUAUUAGGGUUAAUUAUUCUAAAACAAAAAGAGCAAAGGGGAACAGUUUGAUUUAUUAGGGUUAAUUAUUCUAAAACAAAAGAGCAAAGGGGAACAGUUUGAUUUAUUAGGUUAAUUAUUCUAAAACAAAAGAGCAAAGGGGAACAGUUUGAUUUAUUAGGGUUAAUUAUUCUAAAACAAAAGAGCAAAGGGGAACAGUUUGAUUUAUUAGGGUUAAUUAUUCUAAAACAAAAAGAGCAAAGGGGAACAGUUUGAUUUAUUAGGAAAAACAAAGACAAGUAGAACAAUGAGGUAACACUUCCAGAGAAGAUGACACUUAUGAAAGAUCGAAGCAAAACAGAGAUAAUCUACUAGUUCAAAUGACAAACAAUAUGGAGUGUCAUUGGUCUUCGACAGUAUACAUUUUCUU
Molecule: long non-coding RNA, 1347 nt
Organism: Oncorhynchus keta (chum salmon)
Lineage: Eukaryota; Metazoa; Chordata; Actinopteri; Salmoniformes; Salmonidae
Exons: 5
Source: RefSeq, a predicted model, not a curated record